Saccostrea echinata is the source of this 437-nucleotide long non-coding RNA. RefSeq lists it as uncharacterized. The record is from RefSeq and is a predicted model, not a curated record. Lineage: Eukaryota; Metazoa; Mollusca; Bivalvia; Ostreida; Ostreidae. The transcript has 3 exons.
AUUUUAGAUGAAUGCAAUGGUUUCAAUGCAGGGUGAAGAUAUGAGGACAUUGAUACAAUUAAAUUGCAUGGGUCAAUUCAACGAGACUGGACAGAGGGUUGAAAAGUGCAAGCUUUUAAAGAAUUAUUAAGACUGCUGCUUACAAGGCUUACAAAGCAUCAAAGACAAUCUCUUACGAUUUAAUGAGAGGUGGGACGAAGAGUUUUGAUCCAUACCUUCCUGGAGGAAUUCAUUAAAUAUGAAAAGAAGAAAAUAGAGAAGUCCAAGUGUAAAACAGAUUACUUUCUAAUGGAAUAAGGAUGCUGUGAUCUUUUCGUUUUUCAAACAGUAAAAAUUUUAUUUGAGGGAAGACUGUAAUUUUAUUGUGCAGGUGUUAAAAAAACAGUGUUUAGACAACAUUAAUGAAUGGAUUCAAAUUUAUUAAAUUAUAAGAAAUA